This is a non-coding RNA of Cricetulus griseus (Chinese hamster), 3613 nucleotides long. Lineage: Eukaryota; Metazoa; Chordata; Mammalia; Rodentia; Cricetidae. The record is from RefSeq and is a predicted model, not a curated record.
CAGCUGGGGGGGGCCUCAGCACCCUGCCUAGCUCUCUUUGAUGGCCGGAAUCCCCAGAAGUCGCCUGCGACCUCCUCCCCCUCUGCAGCCCUAAAAAGGACGCGGGGUCCCGGCCCGACGCAGGCGGAACCUUCUGCCCGCCUCUUACUGACCGAGGAAAAUGGCCUUGCGCGUUUGGAUAACUAGGGAGAGAUAGGUCGUUUCCCCUACCCAACCGCUCCUUGGGCUUUGUGCCCCAGCGAGCGUGAAUUCGCCUGCUGAGGGAAGAGAGCAAAUGAUGGCGAUGGACAAGAUGGACAAAACCAGCGGCCCCUGCACAUCCCAGCAGUUGUGAGGGAAAGUAGGGAACCCAGGGAUCGAGAAGUGCCCACGAUCUUCCCCAAAGCCAGAAGCAUGCCUAACGCCUGCUGCCCUACAAAAUGCCGGGCACUCUGACCAGGGACCCUGCGGCCAGGCCUGAGCGCUUUGUCCCUAGCCCGCCUGAGGAUGCUACCAGAUGAGGGUUGGACACAGAGGUUCGUUCGUCUGCUGGGGCCGCCGCUGAGCUUUUGGGCUCUUGGGCUCAGAGCCUGAGACUGUAGGCAAGGCACGUGUACUGGCGCGAAGUUCCCACAGUUAGCUGCAAGAGGAGCGAAGUAUGUACUCCAAACUUUACAGGGUUCCAAACUGAGCGCUUCCAUUAAAUGAAGCGGUGUGUGGAAAAGCAUUCUGGGUAUUAGCAUGCAAAUGAACGGGCCCGGCUUUAAACUCGGUUUGGCUCGAUGUAUUCCCACCACUGUGCGCCUGGCAUGCCGCUAGCCACACGCUCACUGAGUCUUCCCAGCGUAACACUGUAAGAGGACCCUAGUUCAAAUCCUAGACCUGAGCUCUCUGGUUGGUGCCAGUUACAUGGCUUCUGUGAGCCAGUUUCGUAACCUGUACACUGGACAAAGCAGCUUUUCUCUUAAGAAUUGAGAAUUCACCCUCCUCAGACAGUACAUUCCAGACUUACUGGAGAAAAUGAUGGAUGAGGCUUGAGGAAAACUCCCUGUCCCUUAAGCCUAAAUCCUGUAUUACAGCAAGCAAGUUAUUGCCUUAAUCUCGGUCCCAGCAUUUUAAAGGCAGAUUCUGGGAACUUGAAGUUUUUUUGUCCGAUUGUGUUUGCUGUUGAGUCCAAGACAGAGAGCAUCCAUCUAGUAUGUUCUAGGGCCCUGUUCUUUCCCAGACUGGGGCUGGGGAGCAGAAAGAGGGUCCUGAUACUCAAUGCCCACUCUACUCACAUCUCCCCAGCUUAGAUGUGCAUGUUUCUAAUUAAGCCCGAGAAAAGUGGAAAAGUGAGAGACUUGCCCAAGGCCACACUGUUGGUGGUAGAGACAGAAGUCAACCCAACCUCCUCUCCAGGGGUGUGAACCCCAUUAGUGGCUCCUUUGAGUUAGACUCUGAAUCUCGGUAGGCUAUGUUUGGAAAACUGGAUGCUUGCCGGCAGUGGUGGCAGCCAAUCCCUUUAAUUCCAGUUCUCAAGAGGCAGAGGCAGGUGUAUCUCUUGAGUUCAGGACCAGCCUGACCUAUAGAUUGAGUUCCAGGAGAGCCAAGGGCAGCCAGGGCUACACAGAGAAAUCCUGUCUCGAAAAACAAAAGAAAAGAAAACUGGAUGCCAUUAACUAGCAGCAUUGCAGUGGUUCUCCUUGCAAAGAGGAGUUCACAGGACUCCUCACCCACAGUGCUCCAAGGAAAACAAGGGACACACUGCCCCAUUGCUGGAGUAAUACUGAUGCUGGAGUAAACCUAGUGACUCAGGAUCCCACCUUGGAAAAGUGGCUAGGCGCAGGUGAAAAUACCAGUGUUGACCCCACCCAUAGCUUUUUCCUGCUUGUCACCAAGGCAGUGCUUAUGCAGGACCCAGGGUUUUUCUGCAACCCUGUUCUCCCUCUCACCCAUCUAUUGGACCCAGAGGCACCUAUUCUGUAACUUUAGGCUUCCAGAUGUGUUUAUAGAAUCUCAAUACACAGCUCAGACUGGCCUAGAGUGAGUGUGCAAUCUCCGGCCUCUGCAUCCUGAGUGCUGCAAUUACAGCAUACACCACCAUGCCCAGCUCCUGCAUUUAACUUUGUAUGGAACCAUCAGGCCUUUCUAUAGUGGCUGCACUUUCACAGCUCCACCACACAUACCUUUUUCUCAGUCGUUUUAAAGCUUAUCAAAACUCUCCACUUAUGAAUGAGCAAGCUGAGGCUUGGAGGGUUAAAUAACUUGCCCAAGAUGACAUGCCUGGGUCCAGACUAGCACCUCCCGUCCUUUAAAUCUCACCUACCUGAGCAUUCAUUGAUUGGCUUAACAAGUUUGCCCAGUGAAGAACUGAGAUAAGUAUUUAUGAACUACAUCUUUUUCCCUCCAUAUCUGAGGACAGAGUCUAUUGCCUUAUUCUCAGUUUCUAGGCUGCACCUUGAAGAGAAACAAGAGCUCACAAUCCCUGAGUCUGCCUCCUGCUGCUGGCCUGUUGGACCUUCUACAGUUGCCAUGGAAACUGUGUACCUCAGUUUUGGCUCUGCACCAGCUGGAUAGCAAACUGAAGAGCAUCAUUGUCUCUCAGGCUAAGCAGAGCUGUCGAGGUCAUUCAUUCAUUAGAUUAAUAUUGAUUGAGCACCUACUAAGCGCUUUGUUUUGUUUCAUGGGUUUUUUAGAUGCUGGAGAAUACAGUAGUAAACAAACUAGACUUCAGUCAUAGCCACCAAGAAUUCCAAAGCCCAGAGAAGCUGAGAGACAAGAAAUAAGGACACAGUAAAGUCUUCUCUUGACUUCUUCCCCCCCAGUCCAAGUUUUCCACUCACAGCCUCUUCUCCUGGCCCAUCCUCUGCAAAAGCCCGGACAAGUAAAGCUCCUUUCAGCAUUUACAGCUCUGUUCUUCCGUUUCAUUUUUUUUUUCCUGGUUGUGAAAACCAAAGAAAUUUCAGCAAUCCCAGAGGUACCUAUUCUGAUGAUUCCCGUUGUACAGACUGAUGAAUGGGCAGAUGAGAAAGGCAAACUCGAAUCACACACGGGGAGCGCCUGAGGCUUUACCUCCAACGCCCAACCUUCACUAAGCGGUCACUCUGGGAUCUGAAAAGAAGCACAGGCAUGAGGCAGCCAGAAACCAUCCUGCUCACAGUUGUCAGACUGGCUUGACAGACAGGGGCCAGCCCACUUCCUUCACCCUCAGAAAAAGCUGGUUCUCUGGCCACAGAAGCAAGAGGAGGGCUGUUCAAGUGGGAAUAGAACGCAGAGUUUGGAGACAAGCAGACCCAAGUUCAAAGUUCAAGUCACAGCUUUCCUCCUGCCAAAUGUAUAGCUUUGGGUUUCUAUUGCUGUGCUAUGAGAAGGUAUGAAAGUCACCCGCCUUCCCUAGAGGCCGCAUCCUUGUGCUCCACCAAUGAUCCUGUAUGAGCCAAAGGCUUAGAAGUCCUUGACUUCCAUCCUGAGGGGUUAGCCUUUCUCUGCUGUGAUCUUGGGGCCCUAAGGACCUUGUCAUUUAUCUUUGGCCAUGUUUCCUGUUUCUGUGUCACUAGCAUAGACCUCUGCUCUUUUAGAAACAAGAAAGGAGAGAAAAAAACAACAAACCCCCCUUCGUGUGUGUGUGUGUGUGUGUGUGUGUGUGUGUGUG